Ribosomal RNA from Pteropus vampyrus (large flying fox), 127 nucleotides. NCBI's taxonomy places the organism in Eukaryota, Metazoa, Chordata, Mammalia, Chiroptera, Pteropodidae. The record is from Ensembl.
GUCUAUGGCUAUACCACCCCGAACGUGCCUGAUCUUGUCUGAUCUCAGAAGCUAAGCAGGGUAGGGCCUGGUUAGUACUUGGAUGGGAGAAUGGUGGACAGAGAAGGGAAGACAGAGGCUGUCAACA